RNAcentral lists this ribosomal RNA (253 nucleotides) under uncultured bacterium. Its description in RNAcentral is "partial 16S ribosomal RNA". It matches the Rfam family "Bacterial small subunit ribosomal RNA", at positions 524 to 776 of the family's 1533-position model. The record is from RNAcentral.
UACGUAGGGCGCAAGCGUUGUCCGGAAUUAUUGGGCGUAAAGAGCUCGUAGGCGGUUUGUCGCGUCGACUGUGAAAACCUACAGCUUAACUGUGGGCUUGCAGUCGAUACGGGCAGACUUGAGUUCGGUAGGGGAGACUGGAAUUCCUGGUGUAGCGGUGAAAUGCGCAGAUAUCAGGGGGAACACCGGUGGCGAAGGCGGGUCUCUGGGCCGAUACUGACGCUGAGGAGCGAAAGCGUGGGGAGCGAACAGG